This 302-nucleotide ribosomal RNA is filed under the name uncultured bacterium. RNAcentral describes it as "partial 16S ribosomal RNA". It matches the Rfam family "Bacterial small subunit ribosomal RNA", at positions 508 to 809 of the family's 1533-position model. The record is from RNAcentral.
GCAGUCGCCGCGGUAAUGCGUAGGUGGCGAGCGUUGUCCGGAAUUAUUGGGCGUAAAGGGAGCGCAGGCGGACAUAUAAGUCCAUCUUAAAAGUGCGGGGCUCAACCCCGUGGGGGGAUGGAAACCGUAUGCCUUGAGUGCAGGAGAGGAAAGCGGAAUUCCCAGUGUAGCGGUGAAAUGCGUAGAUAUUGGGAGGAACACCAGUGGCGAAGGCGGCUUUCUGGACUGCAACUGACGCUGAGGCUCGAAAGCCAGGGGAGCGAACGGGAUUAGAUACCCCCGUAGUCCCUGUCUCUUAUACA